RNAcentral lists this ribosomal RNA (583 nucleotides) under Dictyocoela sp. Its description in RNAcentral is "SSU rRNA". It matches the Rfam family "Microsporidia small subunit ribosomal RNA", at positions 670 to 1242 of the family's 1311-position model. The record is from RNAcentral. Lineage: Eukaryota; Fungi; Microsporidia.
GGAGUAGUUCUAGCAGUAAAAUAUGCCGACGCCGCGAUAUAGUUUUUUGUGGCUGUGUUGCGGAAGAGAAAUCAAGUAAGGCUUUGGGGAGAGUACGCGCGCAAGCGAUAAAUUUAAAGGAAAUUGACGGAGGAACACCACAAGGAGUGGAGUGUGCGGCUUAAUUUGACUCAACGCGGGACAGCUUACCAGGCCCGAUAAUCGAGCGAGCGUUGUACGCGAUAGAUUAAAGAGUGGUGCAUGGCUGCUAUCGACAGUUGGGGUGACCUUAGGGUUAAUUCCGGCAAGUAGUGAGACCCCUGCAGAUAGUGGACAGGUAUUUUUAAAAUACAGGAAGGAAGGGACAAGAGCAGGUCAGUGAUGCCCUUAGAUGGCCUGGGCUGCACGCGCACUACAGUGGUCAUUAUAAGUAGAAUUUAGAAGUAAAGAUGAUCGAGAGGGACUGAGCUUUGUAAGAGGCUCACGAACGAGGAAUUGCUAGUAAUCGUAGGCUCAUUAAGAUACGAUGAAUAUGUCCCUGUACCUUGUACACACCGCCCGUCGUUAUCGAAGAUGGAAUUGUGUGCGAACGAGCAACAAGCGA